AGAUCACCCCUCUUGGAGCCCUUCUGUGAGUCCAGGACACGGGUAAGGUCUACUGCAGCAGUACUUGGAAGUCAGAAUUCCCCAAGGACGCCAGAAAUCUCCAAGGCAGAUCGAUACACACUGAGUGGUGGCGAUCCCCAAAGCAAACGUACAGAUGGGUAUACAGCACGGAGCAGUCAGCAGGUGACUGUAAAUGAAGUGCAACACAUGAAUGUAUUCCUCCUGAGAAAUGCAAUGAACUAUUUUUCCAUCGAUUGCAGUAAGAUUUCAUCAUACAGUGAAAUCAUUCUUCUGAUUCUUUCCAGGCUCCAUUUAGCAGGUCACUGGGUCCAGCCCUGUCCACAAGCAUGACUGCAGGGAGCAGUGACAACAGAGUUCAGCGGCUUCACAGUACGAGCACAGGCUGGCCUUCCUACCAGGCAACAUCAGAGAG
Molecule: long non-coding RNA, 433 nt
Filed under: Gallus gallus (chicken)
Lineage: Eukaryota; Metazoa; Chordata; Aves; Galliformes; Phasianidae
Description: lncRNA (ENSGALG00010007129.1)
Source: RNAcentral